UACAGAGGGUGCAAACGUUGCUCGGAAUUACUGGGCGUAAAGCGCGUGUAGGCGGAUCUGCAAGUCAGAUGUGAAAUCCCCGGGCUCAACCCGGGAACUGCAUCUGAAACUGCAGGUCUAGAGUGCCGGAGAGGGUGGCGGAAUUCCUGGUGUAGAGGUGAAAUUCGUAGAUAUCAGGAGGAACACCGGUGGCGAAGGCGGCCACCUGGACGGCGACUGACGCUGAGACGCGAAAGCGUGGGGAGCAAACAGG
This 253-nucleotide ribosomal RNA is filed under the name uncultured bacterium. RNAcentral describes it as "partial 16S ribosomal RNA". It matches the Rfam family "Bacterial small subunit ribosomal RNA", at positions 524 to 776 of the family's 1533-position model. The record is from RNAcentral.